Molecule: long non-coding RNA, 388 nt
Filed under: Androctonus crassicauda
Lineage: Eukaryota; Metazoa; Arthropoda; Arachnida; Scorpiones; Buthidae
Source: RNAcentral
AACUCACACAUCUUAUUUCUUCCUUCCCCACCUAUCUAGCUGUCCUGAUGAUGUCCCCAGAGUCAGCACAGAUUGUCAUAGGUCCUGGGGUCCUCAGGUGGUUGUGAUCUGAAGGCAGCAACACACACACACACACACACACACACACACACACACACACACCUCUGCUAGAAGUCCUCCACUCCGAGGUCCCACCUCUCUAGCCAAGAACGUGAGAGGAAAGAGCUUCUUCGCUCACAAGGCUGUCCCUGGCUGGGUGAGUCCCCCUCAGGAAGAUCUAGGAGGAUGAACAGAUCCCACUCUCUGAAGUCCCAGAUGGCACCUCACACUUGCAGAGCUUCCAGUCCCACAGGCCUUCUGAUGACAGACGGACAGGCGUGGGAAAGGC